Molecule: unclassified non-coding RNA, 210 nt
Filed under: uncultured fungus
Lineage: Eukaryota; Fungi
Description: sequence contains ITS1
Source: RNAcentral
AAAAACAGGAACCACCGUGUUCCCAACACCGUGUGCACUAUUGACUGUCUCUGGUGGAAUCAGAGGGCUCUUGCUGGAACUCGUUUCGGCAACCUCCCUCCUCCACCAAAGGUGCGCCUCCGUAAGGGGGUGCCACCGAAACAAACCUAAUGAUUGUUUAUUUUUGUCUGAUGCGUUUUCGCCACCUUCACAGGUGAACGAAUUCAAAAA